AUGCCCAGCAAGAGGAAGAAGAACAAGCGCCGCAUGACCAGGGUGCAGGCCCAGAGGAGAAUUCUUGAAGAGCAGUAUGCAGCCAACCCGCCCGCCAAAGCCAGCCGGGGGACUGGGGCGAGCGUCCCCCCGGCGGCAGCCUCCAGGCUCAAAUGCACAGCGCCCGCUCCCCAAAAGAUCCUCCAGGCCGUUACCACCUCAGAAGUGAUAAGUAAACCUGUCACGCCCGAGCCCGAGGCGGCGGCGGCGGCGUUGGAACAGUCUCCGACAGAAGUGCAGGCCGAAGCUGCAGAUGUGGGAGCUGGAGAGACGCCCGUCGCCACGGAGACGGCCGAAGCUGAAUCUGAGGCGACACCAGAGGCCGAAGCGGCCCUUCCUGACACUGAAGCAGGUACUCAGGUGAGUUCUCCAGCUGAGGCUCCAGCAGAAGCUCCAGAGGAGACCGAGAUCUUAACAGAAGAAACAGCAAAUGUGACAACAGAGCCUGAACUGAGGCAUGAAACCCUUGAAGCAAAAACUGAAGAGGAGCCCGAGGCCCCCGCAGAGGAGGAGGCCCCCGUGGAGACUGAGAUGGAAGUGGCCAUCACGGAAGCCCCCGAGGAGCCCGAGGUCACAGCACAGGCUGGAGGCCGAGUAUCCCCGGUGGAGGAACCGGCUGCGGUCGCAGAGGCCGCCGUAGAACCGGCAGAGGUGGAGGUCGCCGCCGAGGUUCUCGAGCCCGAAGCCGUUACUGAAAUCGUCUCUGGUGGGGAGGAGGAAGAGGAGGAAGAGGCAGAAAUGGAAGUCCUGGCUGCAGAAGAAGCAUCUGAAGUCUCUGCUGAGACCACUGACCUCAUCACCAAGACAGAGGUGCCCCAGGAUGCUCCUGUCCAGCCCAUGGAAAUCCAAGUGGUUGGAGACGCUCCGCUAGAAGAGGCUGAAGCAUCUGCAGCCGAGGUGAAAGAGGAGAUCGUUGACAACCUGGCCGAUGACUUUGUUGUCACGGAGACCGCCGAGGCAGUGGAGGUCGCCAUCGCAGAAUCUUCGGGCCAGCUGGAAACCGUGGAGAUGAGCGAAGCUCUCAACAGCCAAUCAGAAGCCUCGAAUGAGUCUGUUGCUGAGUCUGUUGCCGAGGUGGUUGCUCCACCUGCAGAAGAAGCGAUGGAUGCAGAUGGACAGGCAUGUUUAGACGCUCCUCUGGAAGAGCCGAAGCUGGAAGAGCCGAAGCUGGAAGAGCCGAAGCUGGAAGAGCCGAAGCUGGAAGUGUGUGAAAUGCCGUGUCAGAAGCAGCUGGCGGUGGAGUCCGUGGAGAUGUCUGUGGAGUCUUCGCUGAGCGGACACGUCGUUCCAGAAGUCACCAUCGAGGGAUGA
Long non-coding RNA from Takifugu rubripes (torafugu), 1350 nucleotides. Lineage: Eukaryota; Metazoa; Chordata; Actinopteri; Tetraodontiformes; Tetraodontidae. The record is from Ensembl.